This 136-nucleotide transfer RNA is filed under the name Torulaspora delbrueckii. Its description in RNAcentral is "tRNA-Ile". It matches the Rfam family "tRNA". Rfam says of the family: Transfer RNA (tRNA) molecules are approximately 80 nucleotides in length. Their secondary structure includes four short double-helical elements and three loops (D, anti-codon, and T loops). Further hydrogen bonds mediate the characteristic L-shaped molecular structure. tRNAs have two regions of fundamental functional importance: the anti-codon, which is responsible for specific mRNA codon recognition, and the 3' end, to which the tRNAs corresponding amino acid is attached (by aminoacyl-tRNA synthetases). tRNAs cope with the degeneracy of the genetic code in two manners: having more than one tRNA (with a specific anti-codon) for a particular amino acid; and 'wobble' base-pairing, i.e. permitting non-standard base-pairing at the 3rd anti-codon position. The record is from RNAcentral. RNAcentral also lists the same sequence under 1 other name. Lineage: Eukaryota; Fungi; Ascomycota; Saccharomycetes; Saccharomycetales; Saccharomycetaceae.
GCUCGUGUAGCUCAGUGGUUAGAGCUUCGUGCUUAUAGAUGAACCCGAUUUCGGAUCAUUCUGUCCUACGGCCUUUCAAAGCAGGUCAAUACAGCAAGCAACGCGACCGUCGUGGGUUCGAACCCCACCUCGAGCA